Molecule: ribosomal RNA, 468 nt
Filed under: uncultured bacterium
Lineage: Bacteria
Description: partial 16S ribosomal RNA
Rfam family: Bacterial small subunit ribosomal RNA
Source: RNAcentral
GACGAACGCUGGCGGCGUGCUUAACACAUGCAAGUCGAACGGAAAGGCCCUGCUUUUGUGGGGUGCUCGAGUGGCGAACGGGUGAGUAACACGUGAGUAACCUGCCCUUGACUUUGGGAUAACUUCAGGCAACUGGGGCUAAUACCGGAUAGGAGCUCCUGCUGCAUGGUGGGGGUUGGAAAGUUUCGGCGGUUGGGGAUGGACUCGCGGCUUAUCAGCUUGUUGGUGGGGUAGUGGCUUACCAAGGCUUUGACGGGUAGCCGGCCUGAGAGGGUGACCGGCCACGUUGGGACUGGGAUACGGCCCAGACUCCUACGGGACGCAGCAGUGGGGUAUAUUGCACAAUGGGCGGAAGCCUGAUGCAGCAACGCCGCGUGCGGGAUGACGGCCUUCUGGUUGUAAACCGCUUUCGCCUGUGACGAAGCGUGAGUGACGGUAAUGGGUAAAGAAGCACCGGCUAACUACGUG